GGGGUUGUGGCUCAGUGGUACAGCACUUGCCUAGCAUGCAUGAGGCACUGGGUUCGAUCCUCAGCACCACA
This 71-nucleotide transfer RNA is filed under the name Marmota monax (woodchuck). RNAcentral's name for it is "tRNA.Ala". It matches the Rfam family "tRNA". From Rfam's summary of the family: Transfer RNA (tRNA) molecules are approximately 80 nucleotides in length. Their secondary structure includes four short double-helical elements and three loops (D, anti-codon, and T loops). Lineage: Eukaryota; Metazoa; Chordata; Mammalia; Rodentia; Sciuridae. The record is from RNAcentral.